This 305-nucleotide ribosomal RNA is filed under the name uncultured bacterium. RNAcentral's name for it is "bacterial SSU rRNA". It matches the Rfam family "Bacterial small subunit ribosomal RNA", at positions 332 to 632 of the family's 1533-position model. The record is from RNAcentral.
CUAACCUACGGGACGCAGCAGUAGGGAAUUUUCGUCAAUGGGCGCAAGCCUGAACGAGCAAUGCCGCGUGAACGAGGAAGGUCUUCGGAUCGUAAAGUUCUGUUGAAGGGGAAAAAGAGCGGAGAGAGGGAAUGAACUCCGAUUGAUAUUACCCUUCGAGGAAGUCACGGCUAACUACGUGCCAGCAGCCGCGGUAAUACGUAGGUGGCGAGCGUUAUCCGGAAUGAUUGGGCGUAAAGGGUGCGUAGGCGGCCUGCUAAGUCUGGAGUGAAAGGUACCGGCUCAACCGGUACAGGCUCGGGAAA